Molecule: ribosomal RNA, 345 nt
Filed under: Triticum aestivum (bread wheat)
Lineage: Eukaryota; Viridiplantae; Streptophyta; Magnoliopsida; Poales; Poaceae
Description: partial small subunit ribosomal RNA
Source: RNAcentral
AUGCAAGAGCUAAUGGGACAGCGUGGUGGUGCGGCAAGCCCACAAAAUGCAGGGCAACAAAAGGCUCAGGAAGAUGCAAAGCUGGAAGCUGAGGAACGCCGGCAGAUGAUGCUUGCUCAGAUACUGUCUUCUGAAGCUAGAGAAAGAAUCUCCCGCAUAGCUUUGGUCAAGCCUGAUAAAGCAAGAGGAGUGGAGGAUGUUCUGCUGAGAGCUGCACAAACUGGUGGAAUAUCUGAAAAGGUGUCUGAAGAAAGGCUUAUCUCACUUCUGGAGCAAAUCAACACCCACACAAGCAAACAAACCAAAGUGACGAUUCAGAGGCGUCGCUUUGACGACGAUGACUAG